CGUUCUUAUGUAAUUAAAUGGUGCAGAAACAAUACCAAAGUGAAUAAAAAGUCUGAAGAAAUAUCGUUUCACACGACCUACCGGAUGAGUCUAAAUCAGUCCUUAACCAAGAUUCAAUCUUUGAUACACCUAGAAAACAUAAACUAAGAGAAAAGUUAAAAAAACAGGAACUUAAUUUUAAAAAAAAAAUGUAAAAAUAAAAUCAAAUUAUUACAGCAAAGAGUUAGACGUCUUUAAAGCAGGAACUUGCCCCUCAGAGGAAUCAUCAAUUACUUAAAAACGCAAGUUUUCAUUGACACAGAUUUAUAUAAUUAAAUAAAUCAAAACACGGCUACAAUAGAUUUAUGUAACAAUUUGAAUCGAAAAAAGGAGUAAAUAUAUUUAUAACUAUAAA
This 394-nucleotide unclassified non-coding RNA is filed under the name Melitaea cinxia (Glanville fritillary). Its description in RNAcentral is "misc RNA ENSMCXG00005008555.1". The record is from RNAcentral. Lineage: Eukaryota; Metazoa; Arthropoda; Insecta; Lepidoptera; Nymphalidae.